UUCGGGGACUGAGUAGAGCGGCGCACGGGUGAGNUACGCGUGGGUAUCUGCCCGGGAGAUCGGGAUAACAGUGGGAGGGCGCUGCUAAUACCGAAUACGUCUGACAAGAGAAAGGUGGCCUCUGAUUCAAGCUGCCGCUCUCGGAUGAGCCCGCGUCCCAUUAGCUUGUUGGUGGGGUAACGGCCUACCAAGGCUCCGAUGGGUAGCUGGUCUGAGAGGAUGAUCAGCCACACUGGGACUGGAACACGGCCCAGACUCCUACGGGAGGCAGCAGUGGGGAAUAUUGCGCAAUGGGCGAAAGCCUGACGCAGCGACGCCGCGUGAGGGAUGAAGGCCUUCGGGUCGUAAACCUCUGUCAGGAGGGAAGAACCGUCUGGGACUUAACAGGUUCCGGGCCUGACGGUACCUCCAGAGGAAGCACCGGCUAACUCCGUGCCAGCAGCCGCGGUAAUACGGAGGGUGCGAGCGUUAAUCGGAAUCACUGGGCGUAAAGCGCGCGUAGGCGGCUUGCCAAGUCGGAUGUGAAAGCCCUCGGCUCAACCGGGGAACUGCAUUCGAAACUGGCAGGCUGGAGUCCCGGAGAGGGUGGCGGAAUUCCCGGUGUAGGAGUGAAAUCCGUAGAUCUCGGGAGGAACACCAGUGGCGAAGGCGGCCACCUGGACGGUGACUGACGCUGAGGUGCGAAAGCGUGGGGAGCAAACAGGAUUAGAUACCCUGGUAGUCCACGCUGUAAACGAUGGAUGCUAGGUGUCGGGGGUAUUCCUUCGGGUGGCGGAAGUAAACGCGAAUAAGGCAUCCCGACCUGGGGAAGUACGGUCGCCAAGGCUGAAACUCAAAGAAAUUGACGGGGGCC
Molecule: ribosomal RNA, 853 nt
Filed under: uncultured organism
Description: bacterial SSU rRNA
Rfam family: Bacterial small subunit ribosomal RNA
Source: RNAcentral